Molecule: ribosomal RNA, 468 nt
Filed under: uncultured bacterium
Lineage: Bacteria
Description: partial 16S ribosomal RNA
Rfam family: Bacterial small subunit ribosomal RNA
Source: RNAcentral
GACGAACGCUGGCGGCGUGCUUAACACAUGCAAGUCGAACGGAAAGGCCCUGCUUUUGUGGGGUGCUCGAGUGGCGAACGGGUGAGUAACACGUGAUUAACCUGCCCUUGACUUUGGGAUAACUUCAGGAAACUGGGGCUAAUACCGGAUAGGAGCUCCUGCUGCAUGGUGGGGGUUGGAAAGUUUCGGCGGUUGGGGAUGGACUCGCGGCUUAUCAGCUUGUUGGUGGGGUAGUGGCUUACCAAGGCUUUGACGGGUAGCCGGCCUGAGAGGGUGACCGGCCACAUUGGGACUGAGAUACGGCCCAGACUCCUACGGGAGGAAGCAGUGGGGAAUAUUGCACAAUGGGCGGAAGCCUGAUGCAGCAACGCCGCGUGCGGGAUGACGGCCUUCGGGUUGUAAACCGCUUUCGCCUGUGACGAAGCGUGAGUGACGGUAAUGGGUAAAGAAGCACCGGCUAACUACGUG